Molecule: ribosomal RNA, 427 nt
Filed under: uncultured bacterium
Lineage: Bacteria
Description: partial 16S ribosomal RNA
Rfam family: Bacterial small subunit ribosomal RNA
Source: RNAcentral
UGGGGAAUAUUGCGCAAUGGGCGAAAGCCUGACGCAGCGACGCCGCGUGGAGGAUGAAGGUCUUCGGAUUGUAAACUUCUGUUAAGUGGGAAGAAAGCUUUGCUUUUAAUAGAAGCGAAGGAUGACGGUACCAUUAGAGAAAGCACCGGCUAAACUCGUGCCAGCAGCCGCGGUAAUACGAGUGGUGCAAGCGUUAUUCGGAAUCAUUGGGCGUAAAGGGUGUGUAGACGGUAUGUUAAGUCAACUGUUAAAUUCUCCGGCCUAACCGGAGGUCAGCAGUAGAAACUGGCGUGCUAGAGGGUGGAAGAGAGAAGUGGAAUUCUCGGAGUAGCGGUAAAAUGCGUAGAUCUCGAGAGGAACACCAAUGGCGAAGGCAGCUUCUUGGUCCAUUUCUGACGUUGAAACACGAAAGCGUGGGGAGCAAACA